Molecule: long non-coding RNA, 203 nt
Filed under: Gossypium raimondii (Peruvian cotton)
Lineage: Eukaryota; Viridiplantae; Streptophyta; Magnoliopsida; Malvales; Malvaceae
Description: long non-coding RNA (GRAI_LNC003721)
Source: RNAcentral
CACUAUGUUUCAGGAAACAGAAACCCUAGGGUUUCUAACUCCCCUUCAGCCCCAGCCGCCGCAACAGAGCCAGGCUUCCCCCUCGCGCGUGUUGUGCCAGCGCACGUGUAACGCCUCCGUGCCAAAUCCACGUGAACCUCCACGUCGACUGCCCCGUAUGCCCCUACUUGCAUACAAAAAACAAGCAAAAACGCAACAGAAAC